UGGGGAAUAUUGCGCAAUGGGGGCAACCCUGACGCAGCAACGCCGCGUGCGGGACGACGGCCUUCGGGUUGUAAACCGCUUUCAGCAGGGAAGAUAGUGACGGUACCUGCACAAGAAGCCCCGGAUAACUACGUGCCAGCAGCCGCGGUAAUACGUAGGGGGCGAGCGUUAUCCGGAUUCAUUGGGCGUAAAGCGCGCGCAGGCGGCUCUUCAAGCGGAACCUCUAACCCCGGGGCUUAACCUCGGGCCGGGUUCCGAACUGGAGGGCUCGAGUGCGGGAGAGGCAGGCGGAAUUCCCGGUGUAGCGGUGGAAUGCUCAGAUAUCGGGAGGAACACCGAUGGCGAAGGCAGCCUGCUGGGCCGGCACUGACGCUGAGGCGCGAAAGCUAGGGGAGCGAACAGG
RNAcentral lists this ribosomal RNA (403 nucleotides) under Verrucomicrobiota bacterium. RNAcentral describes it as "Verrucomicrobia bacterium partial 16S ribosomal RNA". It matches the Rfam family "Bacterial small subunit ribosomal RNA", at positions 355 to 776 of the family's 1533-position model. Lineage: Bacteria; Pseudomonadati; Verrucomicrobiota. The record is from RNAcentral.